RNAcentral lists this ribosomal RNA (301 nucleotides) under uncultured bacterium. RNAcentral describes it as "partial 16S ribosomal RNA". It matches the Rfam family "Bacterial small subunit ribosomal RNA", at positions 509 to 809 of the family's 1533-position model. The record is from RNAcentral.
CAGUAGCCACGGUAAUACGGAGGGAGCUAGCGUUGUUCGGAAUUACUGGGCGUAAAGCGCGCGUAGGCGGUUACUCAAGUCAGAGGUGAAAGCCCGGGGCUCAACCCCGGAACUGCCUUUGAAACUAGGUGACUAGAAUCUUGGAGAGGUCAGUGGAAUUCCGAGUGUAGAGGUGAAAUUCGUAGAUAUUCGGAAGAACACCAGUGGCGAAGGCGACUGACUGGACAAGUAUUGACGCUGAGGUGCGAAAGCGUGGGGAGCAAACAGGAUUAGAUACCCGCGUAGUCCCUGUCUCUUAUAU